GGUCGAGUGGCGCAAUGGUAGCGUGUGGUCCUCCUAUACUAGGGAGAAUCAGACUGAGGUUGUGGGUUCGAGUCCCAUCUCGAUCG
RNAcentral lists this transfer RNA (86 nucleotides) under Madurella mycetomatis. It matches the Rfam family "tRNA". Rfam says of the family: Transfer RNA (tRNA) molecules are approximately 80 nucleotides in length. Lineage: Eukaryota; Fungi; Ascomycota; Sordariomycetes; Sordariales. The record is from Rfam by way of RNAcentral.